Molecule: ribosomal RNA, 509 nt
Filed under: uncultured bacterium
Lineage: Bacteria
Description: bacterial SSU rRNA
Rfam family: Bacterial small subunit ribosomal RNA
Source: RNAcentral
GAUGAACGCUAGCGGCAGGCUUAACACAUGCAAGUCGAGGGGCAGCAUGAGACGGAGAUUCGUCGAAGUCUUGAUGGCGACCGGCGCAAGGGUGCGUAACGCGUGAGCAACUUGCCCGUUUCUGGGGAAUAACCGGUGGAAACGCCGACUAAUACCCCAUAGUAUGUUUUUAAGGCAUCUUUUAAACAUUAAAGAAUUUCGGAAACGGAUAGGCUCGCGUGACAUUAGCUAGAUGGCGGGGUAACGGCCCACCAUGGCGACGAUGUCUAGGGGUUCUGAGAGGAAGGUCCCCCACACUGGAACUGAGACACGGUCCAGACUCCUACGGGAGGCAGCAGUGAGGAAUAUUGGUCAAUGGUCUGACGACUGAACCAGCCAUGCCGCGUGAAGGUCACGGCCCUAUGGGGUCUUAAAACUUCUUUUUGUAAGGGAGCAAUAAGUCUCACGUGUGGGAUGAUGAGAGUACCUUACGAAUAAGCAUCGGCUAACUCCGUGCCAGCAGCCGACGG